RNAcentral lists this ribosomal RNA (492 nucleotides) under uncultured bacterium. RNAcentral describes it as "partial 16S ribosomal RNA". It matches the Rfam family "Bacterial small subunit ribosomal RNA", at positions 29 to 507 of the family's 1533-position model. The record is from RNAcentral.
AGUGAACGCUGGCGGUAGGCCUAACACAUGCAAGUCGAACGGCAGCACAGUAAGAGCUUGCUCUUACGGGUGGCGAGUGGCGGACGGGUGAGGAAUACAUCGGAAUCUACUUUUUCGUGGGGGAUAACGUAGGGAAACUUACGCUAAUACCGCAUACGACCUACGGGUGAAAGCAGGGGAUCUUCGGACCUUGCGCGAUUGAAUGAGCCGAUGUCGGAUUAGCUAGUUGGCGGGGUAAAGGCCCACCAAGGCGACGAUCCGUAGCUGGUCUGAGAGGAUGAUCGGCCACACGGGAACUGAGACACGGUCCAGACUCCUACGGGAGGGAGCAGUGGGGAAUAUUGGACAAUGGGCGCAAGCCUGACCCAGCCAUACCGCGUGGGUGAAGAAGGCCUUCGGGUUGUAAAGCCCUUUUGUUGGGAAAGAAAAGCAGCAGGUUAAUACCCCGCUGUUCUGACGGUACCCAAAGAAUAAGCACCGGCUAACUUCGUG